CAUAGCGACUAUCGUGGCAUAUCAAUAAGCGGAGGAAAAGAAACUAACAAGGAUUCCCUUAGUAACGGCGAGUGAAGCGGGAAGAGCUCAAAUUUGAAAUCUUCAAGGUUCUACCUUGACGAAUUGUAGUUUAUAGAAGUGUUUUCUGUUAGUAGAGUGGCAAAAGUUCUUUGGAAUAGGACAUCAUAGAGGGUGAGAAUCCCGUAUUUGGUCAUUCUUUCUAGCUUUGUGAUACACUUUCAAAGAGUCGGAUUGUUUGGGAAUGCAGUCCAAAAUGGGUGGUAAAUUUCAUCUAAAGCUAAAUAUUGGCGAGAGACCGAUAGCGAACAAGUACCGUGAGGGAAAGAUGAAAAGAACUUUGAAAAGAGAGUUAAACAGUACGUGAAAUUGUCAAAAGGGAAGCGUUUGACACCAGUGUUGUUUUCUCGAAAAUCAAUUAAGAAUGUAUGUAUUUUGUAGAAUUGUAUUGACUUUCAUCAGGCUUUCUGCACUUUUUUCUUAUAACUUUUUUAAUGCACUUUUCGGUUAACAAGUCAACAUCAAUUUCUUUUGUUGUAAAAGAGGUCAUUGAGGAAGGUGGCUUUUUCUUUCGGAGAAAAGUGUUUAUAGCCUUUGUACCUUCUGCAAUCGGAGAGAUUGAGGUCUGCAGCGUAGAUCCUUCGGGGUUAGAUACAUUUGUGCUAAGCUAUAGUUCUUUCAUAGACAACUUGUUGACUAUAGUCAGUCCUGUAGCUUACUCGCUUAUGCUAUUUUACCUACGCUUAGGAUGUUGAUAGUCACAGCGUGUAC
RNAcentral lists this ribosomal RNA (789 nucleotides) under uncultured Neocallimastigales. Its description in RNAcentral is "partial large subunit ribosomal RNA". It matches the Rfam family "Eukaryotic large subunit ribosomal RNA", at positions 22 to 643 of the family's 3401-position model. The record is from RNAcentral. Lineage: Eukaryota; Fungi; Neocallimastigomycota; Neocallimastigomycetes; Neocallimastigales.